RNAcentral lists this long non-coding RNA (1393 nucleotides) under Salvia miltiorrhiza (redroot sage). Its description in RNAcentral is "long non-coding RNA (SMIL_LNC008047)". The record is from RNAcentral. Lineage: Eukaryota; Viridiplantae; Streptophyta; Magnoliopsida; Lamiales; Lamiaceae.
AACAAUACUUUUGAUGUCCCAGGCCGUUCCUUCGAAUUUGCUUUCGUUCCGCCACUUCCACAGAAUCUAAGUGUGCAAACCCAAAGCGCCUUUAAGAAAUUUCCAAUCUUCUUCCCUCUGCCUAAGCUUGCGAACAUGUUGAAGUGCAUUCUUACAGUUUGAGGACGAACCGAACUGAUCCCCAACCACUUUUGGAUCUCGUCCCAUACCACACCAAUCUUCAGGCAGAGCAAGAAAAGGUGGUUUGUCGUCUUGUUUUGAUGAUUGCACGGAUUGCACUUAAGCUCUUCUUCUUCCAACGUGACAUUCCUCUUCCUCAAGUUAUCAAUGAUUGCACGCAUUGCACUUAAGCUCUUCUUCUUCCUACCACUUUUGAAGGGUAUUGUCUACAACUCUACAUUAUCUUCUUUUAUUGUCAAUUUCAUCAUUGAAAUUCGUGGAAAAUUUAGGAAUAAAUUUACAACAAACCAAAAAUAAGGUUGGGGUAUUAUUGCAAAAUUCGAAAAAUUAACUUACUUUGCAAAAAUGUUGAAAGAGUAGGAUUUAACUUUUAAACAAGGAAACAUAACUUAGUAAAACACAUCCCUCUAAUCAGUAGGUAGAAGGGUUCAUGAAAACAAUUAAUUUAUUUUGUGCGUGUAUCAGUGUAUGUAACUUUAAGAAAACAAUUAUUCCAUUCGUUCCACUUUAAAUGACCCAAUUUAUAUUUUGGAUUGUCCCACUUUAAAUGACCCAAUCCAAAUUUAAAAAUAAAAUUGAGAAUUUAAAACUACUUUUUAAGCUGUUUCACCAUCACUUUACACUUUUAUCACAUAUUUUUUAAUUUAUGUGCUAAUUUUUUUGGAUCAUUUGAAGCGAGGCAGAAGGAGUAAUAUUUUUAUAUAUGGACCAAAAUUUUAGUAUUUUCAAAGGAUUCUUGUAUUUAUGGUAGUACGUUUACAUAUGCACAAGUCUAAGAGAUGUUCCAAUGUAUUUUAUUCAACGGAUUCUUGUAUUUUAUAAUAUGCUACUACGUUUAGGUACGCACAAAUGGUAAAGCUAACGAGGCACUCAAAAAUUCCCAUUUCUGAGAAUUUUUUAGUCUAAUUUCAUUAAUUAUCUCAUGCUUUUCCGCAUCUGUGUGGUCUGCAUGCGAUUUGUUUAUUUAAUUAUAUAUACUUUUUAUAAUUAUUAAAAAAUAUAUUACUGCCUCUCAGAUUCAGAUGUGACCUCCAGAAAAUGUAAGUUUCUUUCGCAUAGCUGUAAAUAAUUACUCGGGGGGGCAUUUAUUAUCAAAAAUUAAACCCUGGGCAAGCAAGUCGGCAAGCCGCAACUAAUGCAUAUAAUAAGUUACAAGUUGCAUGAUUUUAAAAUUACAACUUGAAGUAAAAUACUCAUAGUUGAUGAAGUGGAC